Molecule: ribosomal RNA, 492 nt
Filed under: uncultured bacterium
Lineage: Bacteria
Description: partial 16S ribosomal RNA
Rfam family: Bacterial small subunit ribosomal RNA
Source: RNAcentral
AGUGAACGCUGGCGGUAGGCCUAACACAUGCAAGUCGAACGGCAGCACAGUAAGAGCUUGCUCUUACGGGUGGCGAGUGGCGGACGGGUGAGGAAUACAUCGGAAUCUACUUUUUCGUGGGGGAUAACGUAGGGAAACUUACGCUAAUACCGCAUACGACCUACGGGUGAAAGCAGGGGAUCUUCGGACCUUGCGCGAUUGAAUGAGCCGAUGUCGGAUUAGCUAGUUGGCGGGGUAAAGGCCCACCAAGGCGACGAUCCGUAGCUGGUCUGAGAGGAUGAUCAGCCACACUGGAACUGGGACACGGUCCAGACUCCUACGGGAGGCAGCAGUGGGGAAUAUUGGACAAUGGGCGCAAGCCUGAUCCAGCCAUACCGCGUGUGUGAAGAAGGCCUUCGGGUUGUAAAGCCCUUUUGUUGGGAAAGAAAAGCAGCAGGUUAAUACCCCGCUGUUCUGACGGUACCCAAAGAAUAAGCACCGGCUAACUUCGUG